RNAcentral lists this long non-coding RNA (29261 nucleotides) under Coffea arabica (coffee). Its description in RNAcentral is "long non-coding RNA (CARA_LNC003213)". The record is from RNAcentral. Lineage: Eukaryota; Viridiplantae; Streptophyta; Magnoliopsida; Gentianales; Rubiaceae.
CUUUUUUUUUUUUUUUUGCUUUAUAAGGAUUGAUGAGGCGUUGGGCUCAGGAAUAAACAUCAGAAUGUCUCGCCUUGAUCGUGUUCAGCAUCGCCAACAAGAAAGCCCCACUUUCCUCUCUUGUCCUUCAUUUUGUGAUUCGGCCUGAUCGACAACAACAAAAUGAACCUUCCUUUCUUCCAAAGCUUCUUUAGCUUUUUGGUUCUUUUUUUCUCCAAUUAUUUAUGAGUUUUGUCGUCUAAUUUUUUUUUCCUUUUAUGAUGUUGUAAUGUUACAGGUGCAGAUUUUGAAAAUUUCCUCCACCAUCCUCAUGGGGUUUUGUAAUUUUUGCUUUCCCCUUUGAAGCUGGGUUCUAAAUGGUUAGUUUCUAGAAAAAGGGUUAUUUCUGCUGUUUUUUUUCUCAUAGUUGCUCUGUUUCUUUACUUUGUUUUUUUUGGGAUUUUUUUCUUGAAUUGCUUGACUUGAAUGUUGAUCAAUCAAACAAGGAAAAAAGAAAGGGAUUUAGAGAAGAUUACAGCAUAGGAACAAAAGAAAUUCCAGUUUCCAAUUCCUGUUGCUGCUAUCGAGAAUUUCCAUCAAAUAAUAAGCUUGGUGAAGUUGGCUACGGCUCUGUUUCAAAUCAAACCAUUUUGCAUGAUGGACCUCCGGAUUCUUGGUUGAGAUGGUGGUGUCGUUUGAAGGUCAAUAACCAAUACCAUGAAUAAGGUAUAAUUUACAGUAAAGGUCUGUGACUUUUGCUGCCUUAUAAAAAAAGGCUGCUUUCUUUAUUCUAAAAUUACUUGGACGAAACUUUGUAUGAAAAAUUAAGCUACUAUAUAUAUAGACCAAACUAUCAAAUUGUCUAUCAAAGUGCAUUCAUCUUAUUUUCUACUCUCGAAGUUGUAGACAUAGAAGUUUUAUGAUAAACUGGUUCGUUAAUUUGCAUGCUACUUGUCUUAUUUAAAAGAUCCUCCUAUAAAGAAAUUUUGAAAGUCAGUAUCUACCAAACCUUUUUCAUAUGCCUAUGAACUAAAUCUUGGAGUGGAGAACUGUAAAUCUCUCUCCAAGCAUUUUGUUUUUUUAUCAAGAAAAGUUUUUUCUUUUGGUUGAGUUAAUGUAUGUACUUUAUAGAAAUCAUAGAAGUUCAAGUUAAAAUAUGUACUUAAAAUUUUGUCAUUUCACCUAUUUAUUUUGAAUUCCUUGACUAUGGUGACUUUUGAUUGAUUUUCUGAAUUUUAUUUUUUCAAUUCUUGGUUGAUAGCAGUCGGAAUUUUGAAGUCAAAUUUAUCCUUCACCAUGAUUUUUACUUAUUCAGGUAUGUUGCUUUGUUUCUCAGAGAUCUGGUAUUUAUUUGAACUGUAAAAUUGUUUUACUUUUGAUUGAUUUUGGUAGAUAUGGGCCACUGCUCAUGAAUAACAGAUUGUACCAAUUAUUCAUGUGUAUGCAGGUUGCUGAAAUCUUAAAAGAUUGGCCCUAAUGAUUUCGUGCUUGCCAAGCUGUGGAUGUCCUUAAUAUGAUAUCUACUGGAAACAGUGGAACCAUUGAACUUCUUUAUAUGCAGGUCAAAGUUUUACGUAUGUUGAAUUCUGUGGUUGUCAUCCACUGUUAAGUAAAGUUGUUUGACAAAUGUAGUUCUGAUUUCCUUGUUCAGCUCUAUGCCCCUACUACUCUGGCACCAGCUCGUGACUUUUGGUUAUUACACUAUAUGCCUGUGAUGGAAGAUGGUAGUCUCGUUGUAUAUACCUCAUAGUAAACUAGUGGAAUGCAAAAUGAUCUCAUCUUAGCUACUUUAGGUUGAUUUAUUAAAAUCUUGAAAAACAUUAGGUCUGUGAAAGAUUGCUGCACAACACUCGGAAUGGUCCCAGUAUGCCACCUGUUUAGCAUUUUGUAAGAGCUGAAAUACUGCCAAGCGGAUACUUGAUCAGACCUUGUGAAGGAGGUGUGAGGACUCGAAAAUUUGUCUUAUUUUUAAUCGUUUAAUUUUAUUUUCUUUCAUAUAUUUUCGUACUAUACUUUAUUAUAUUGAACUUCCAUAGAUUUUUAUAAGCAAGUCUAUAUUUUAAAUUAUUUUUCCAAUAUAAGAUAGUUCAUGAUACGUUUGGUGUGUAGUAAGGACGUGGGACCUGCUAGUGCGGUAAGUGCGAUAAAUUUUCGAUAAAUAAGUGAAACGUACACAAGGGGAUAUUACUGUACAAGGUGCUAGGAGAUAAUUGUAGGUUAGUUAGAUAGAUUACCAUUGAGAGACAAGAGGAUAAGUUUGAAAACAAAAGGUGCCAAGUGUCGCGAUUUGGUUGGUGUUGGACUUUGACUAUUUUUCCUCCACCUUUACUAAACCCAAAAUUUGACCAAGAUCAUCUUCAUUUCCUCCUAGAGCUGGCCGAAAUUUGGAGAGCAAGAGAGAGAGAAAAUCUUCAUCUUUCACUUCAAUUUCUUGCCCAAAUCUUGAGUUUCAACCGAUUAAUUUGCAAACUACUCCAUAAAACUUACUUCCCAAGUAGUUUCCAAGGUGUUUGUGAAGUUAUUUUUGGAGGACAAAGCCUAAGCUACCAUCUUUCUUAGGGAGAUAAGGUAAAUUGUCAAGAAACUCCUUCUUUACUUCAAUAAAUGGGCAAUUUGUGGUUAUAGUUGUUGAAUUAGUAAUUUUGUGAGAGAAUUAUAUGGGUUGAAGUAGGUUUAUGAAAAUUUCAGUUUCUUGGUGAAUUUUCUGCCCUAAUAUGAAGAUUAAUGAUUAGUUAUGGUUUGAUAGCUUUGAUAUGUGAAAUAGCUAGUGUUUAGAUGUUAGUUUACUUGGCCUAAAGAAAUUUCUGGUUUGUAAGCAUAAAUUCCAGCUUGGAUGAUAACCUGCCCUGCUUCUGCCUGGUUCUAUUUCACCAUGUUAGAGGCCGAACUAACCUUAGUACAAAACAUGAAAGUUGUAUAAAAUGAUGUUUUAUAGUUUUCUACAAAAUUUCAACUCAAUCGGAGCAAUAUAGCCUGUGAAAUGACCGAAAUACCCUUGACUGCCCAUAACCCCUAUUUUCGCGGACAGUUUUCUAUCUUCGUGGGAAUUUCAAUUUUUGACUCUGAAAAUGCAUGAUUUAGCUUUGUAUGUCUUCAUAAGAAAUGUAGGUAUAUGUCUAGGCUUCGAAACGCCAUAAGAUACACCUCAAUUGGACUUCGGCAGCCUGAGUUAUUGUCGUUGAAUCAUAGUGCAAUUAACAAGCCCGAAUGUGAGAUGCUGGUUCUGUAAUUUGGAAUUUUGACUUAGAUACACUACAAACUGGACUGAGUUGUCUUCAUAAAAGUUGUAACCCUCUGUCUUAGCUUCGAAACGGUAUAAAUUAGACCCCAAUCCUAUAAGCGUAGUUUCGGUUGUGUCCGUUACGCAAAACAACGUCAAAUCUAUCUUUUGCUUUCCAACUCAACCUUCAUUUCCGCACAUGCUCCUAGCUUGAUUUUGUACUUGUAUGACUUGGAGCCUAUGGAAUGGCUAUUGAAAUGAGAUGAUUUUGUGUGUGACUUUGGGAUUGAUUGAGGAAAAUAAUGAAGCCAUAAAUGGCUGGAAAAUAGGUAAAUACAAAGGGCGUGCUGCCCAAAUUUACGCUCGAGAGUUAGGUCGAUAUACUUGCGACUUGAGUAAGGCUUGAGAGCGAAUACCACGCAAACCAUCUCGGGUAUUUACGUUUUCUUUGCCACUUCGACUCAAACAGUGAUUUUAAAGUUUUACAAGUGAGUCUAAGUUUCCAAAUAUUUUACUUAUGUCCUUUGGUUUCAAUGUACUCUUUUCACUACCAAAACCAUAUUUAUACUUUGUACUAGUACGUAUGCGACUUUUCUUUGACUCACUUAUAUCUUUGAUGGUUGAAGCAUAAUGUGUUCGUUUGAUUAUAUUAGGAUACCUUGAUGAUUGAGGGUGUAUCCGGAAGGAAACUUUGGACGUUAUUUUGCUUAAAUAGGUGAGUGUUCCUUGUUGCUAUAUUUUCCUUGACUUCAUGGCUUAUUGUUAUUAUUUGGUAAUGCGUUAAUUGCUCUUAAUGAUUGCCAAAACAAGUUUUCUAGGCGAGUGUGUACUUUAUCGCACUCGACCUAAAUGAUUGUGAAAUUUUCAAUGAUUGAACGAUUAUAUACGCAUGUAUGUAAGUCUUUUGGCUGAACUGGGCCCUGCCCUUCGUUACCGAUCGACUCGAGCCAGAAGCGGACUCGGUCGGAUGAUAUGGCGACCCUGGGUGAAUUUGGUAUACUCGAAUAUUACCUUGAAUUCUGGUGGAGCCUGGCCAACGUCCAGGAAGGGGGUGAACGAAAUGAAUGAACGAACGAGGGUUUUACUUACAAAAAUACAUUUUCAAAUGAUUGGAGGAAUAAGGGGAAAUGACAGGAGAACGAAUGAAUGAACGAAUGAAUGGCUCCCUGUGAGCCCGUAUCCUUUUAAUGAAUGUGUUUAUCGCUUUAUAUUGUACAUGUAUCUUGAAUUAUUGGUGAAAUGUAGUGAAUGCAUUGGAUUUAUUGUUUGCCUAUGUGUUCGGAACCUCACUGAGCUUUUAGCUCACCCCUUUAGUUUUGUUUUCCUUAACAGGGAGAUGCGAGCAAGGACGAGAGCCCAGUGUAGGUUAGCCUAGUCUAGUUUUUUGGUUUGUAAUGGUUCUCGCCCUAGUGCUUAGCACGGGCUGGAUGUAUGACGAAUUGAGAACCUUUGUAUAUUCGAUAUUUGUACUCUCUUUUGAGAUAGAAAUGUAUAUAAGUUUCGCUUUAAGCUUUGGAUUGUUAUUCCGUUUGAGUUUGUGGUUUUAUUUCGGAUUUGAUUGAGGUUCGACUGAGUCCCGGCGAGAGGUGGACAGGUGGUCCGCCGAACCCUUUGGUUCGCCUUAGGGUGAGGUGGGGCUGUCACAGGAGGUGACUCCAUAAUCCAUAUAGUUGACCACAUAGACUUAGAGGUAAUCUACUUAACAUACUGGUUUCAUCAUAGAGUAGGCUACCCAUGCUAUAAUAAUCGUAUUGCUUGCCAGCAGCCAUGGAGUGUGCCUGAAGUGACCCGUCCACUAUAUGAGUUGUCAACAUUGCUUGCUCAGAAGACAACAAUGGCGAUAUGAUAUUUAGAUUCUAUGCAGUUCUCUCCUUUGUGCCAGUCAUGCCUAAAGUAUCCAAAAAAAGAUGAAUAUACCAUUUUGUUCGCUAAUUUGACACUGUAAUAUUUUCCAGGCUUUACACCAAUUAAGACAGAUCUCACAUGAAGUUUCUCAGCCUACUAUCACAAGAUGGCGAAGAAGACCUGCAGCAUUAUGAGCACUUAGCCAAUGAUUGAGCAAGUAGGUUUCUGAGUUGUUGACAUUAUGUUCUGAUGGCUUCUAAUUUUUUAUGUGAACCUAAAAUUUACUUUAUUUUUUCUCUAGGGAUUUCAAUGAGGCUAUAAAUGGUUUCACAGAUGAGGGAUGGUCUAUGCUUGACAGUGAUGGCAUUGAUGAUGUUACUGUUCGUGUGAACCCUUCUCCCAGCAAAUUGAUGGGACUAAAGUUUCAUCCGUCAGCAAUGUAGUGCCAUGUGCCAAGGCCUCCAUGCUUUUACAGGUUUGGAGAUUAAAUACACAGUAAAAAACAUUAUGAGGCUUCACUCGGAUCUUUAGAUUUUCUCUGAAAAGCAAAAGGAAUUGAUAAAUGGAUGAAAGUUAAGUUGUGGUACAUAUUGCCUCAAACUACAACUGUAUAUACCACAAUAAAUUUAAAAAAUAUUUUUUUUGUUUUGUAAAAUAAGAUAAUAAGAUCAAGAGUUGAAAUUUAAGAUAAUCCCAAGAUGUUUGAUGGCUAGACCAAGUAACCAUAACCUUUGUGUUUAAUAUUGUAGGUCACUAUCCUUGAAAACUUAAACGAAUGUUAAAACACAAUUUUCUUUCUCACUGAAUCUUCAGGUUCUGUACAUGCAUAGUAGUUCUAUGGGUAAUUACAACAAAUCUCUUAAGAAAAAAUCUCUUAGAGAGCAGUUUACAUGCAUAGUAGUUUGUCUUUCGUUCCGUUUGUGUUUUGAUACUGUAUUUAUCUAGAGGUGUUUGUCUUUAGUUCUUCUGUGUUUUUUAUUUUUUGAUCUGUAAAGUUGUUGAGUGCUUAUGCUUCUGGGCAUUGGUGUUUGCCCUUCCCAUUGGUUUUGCUUCCUGUAUCUUUGGCCCGUUUGUUUGCUGGUUUGGUGGUUUUUUUUUUGUGGUAGCAUGUUGCAUUUCCUACUCUUUUAGUAUGAUUUAUAAAUCAUGCUACUACUAAAGAUUCCAUGUUUUGGCCUUGCAAGCUUGUUGUGUUGAAUAGAUCAUUCUGAAGAGUGAUAACUUAUCAUCUCUGUUUCCUAAUGCACAUUUAAGCUUGGGAGGACUUGAAUUAAUUUCAAAACAUCCAUUUGCUUUGCUCACUACCCUCACUAUUCUUCCUACUGUUUGGAUGCAAGAUCUCACCCUACUUAGUUACAUCUCAGGUGAGUGAUUUAUUAAUUAAGGAACUUUUUAAAGGAAAGAAGUACAGAUUUAGGGGACUGAGAAAACCUUCUGUCCAAAAUCUCAGGUGUCUUUCAACUUUUCUCUGCUCUUUUUUGGUCGAUCUUUUUUCUUUUUGAGGUUGUUUUUCAGUACUAUCCAUGUUGAUGGUUUGUUUGUAGCCCUUUUUAAACAUUUUUUCCAAAGGGCUUUUGGUGAUUGACUGCAGUAAUUUUAUUACUUCUGUAGUUGUCUGGUGUUGAAUUUGUUUGGUUGAGCACCAAGUAAUUGCCUGUGAGUGCACUGGUUUUAGCUAGGUAUUUACUUGUGAAUGCAUUGAUUUGAUGGGAAAAUAGUUACUUUUAGUGUGUCAUGGGGUUAGCUUUGUUUUUUUCCUUUUGUUUUUUCUUUGUGCAUAUAAUUGGUGAAUUACUGAAGCUUCUCACUAUCUAUCUUUUCUUUCUUUUCAUUAUUUUUUCUUUUUGUGGUGCCUUCUGUGGAUUUUGUUCCUUAUGUACAAUUUUGUGUGCUUCAGAUAGCAUCAUGUUUACUAAGAACUUUUUUCCUUUAAUUCUUAUAUUGAAUAGGUGAAAGCAAUGAUCCUGGAGGUAGAAGUAGAUGAUGAAGAUGGAAGAUUAUGUGAUGGUGAUUUGAAUGGAGGCUUCAAUAUUAUUUUUACUAAAACCCUUAAGCAUCAAAUGGUACCAAUGCUUAAAUUAGGACUGAUUAACAUAUACUAUUACCAUAUACUAAUCAAUGGUAAACUUUAAUAUGCACAUUUAUGAUACACAAAGAUGACUAAAAGUUUUCAUUUACUAUGGUUAUACGAGUUUACUAUUGCUAUCCACAGAUUUCUAAUACAACUCAAGAUUAUUUCCAUAUUUUCUUCCUCUAAAAUCCUUGGAAAAUUCUCUGGCAAUAUCUUGUUUCCAUGUCUUUUACACAUAGCAGUCAAGCCCCAAAGAUAACAUGCAGUGAUACAAGUUUACUAUAGUUCUGUACAACUCCCUCCCUGGUUCCAAAAAAUCUGGUUUUCUUGCACUCUAUUACCUCAAAACCUUUUACUCACAAAUCUGGUCUUAUUGGUUGCUGUAGUUUAAUGUUGGUUUUUGAAUUUUUUUUUUCCAUUGGCCUAAAUCUUUUCCUUUUGUUUGAUGCAGGAAUUGUGCCCAACCAUUGAAUGUUAUUUUUCUAUUGGAAGCUUUGUGUUUCUUUUUUAAAGUUAUUAGUGAGGACAUGGAAAACUUGAAAUAUUAGUGCUUCUAUUGUAAUUGUUACAGAAUCUUUGCUAUGUUGCAAUGCAUGUGUGACCUUUUCAUCCUUUGUACACUUCCCUGCAAAUUGGAAAAUAGGCCAGCAGUGGAGAAAGAGUCCAUAUCUCAGUUCAUUUUUGGUCAUAUUGCCAUUUUGAGAAAAUUGUGUCUGUGGGAAUAAUUUUGUUUUCAGAUACAUGUAUUGCAAGAUUCUUUCCUUUUCCUCAUUUUCCUUUUCCUCAAAUUGAAAAAUAGGCCAGCAGUGGAGAAAGAGUCCAUAUGUCAGUUCAUUUUUGGUCAUAUUGCCAUUUUGAGAAAUUGUGUCUGUGGGAAUAAUUUUGUUUUCAGAUACAUGUAUUGCAAGAUUCUUUCCUUUUCCUCAUUUUUUGUCUGGAUUUUGAUUAAUUUGGAGUCUUUUGGACAGGUGAACGAUUCUAUGUUUAAUGAUGAUGGAGAAGCUAUUUAUCUGCCUGAUGGCCUUGGUCAAUUUCGGAUGAAUUUGGUGGAACUUUUCGUUGAUAUCUGUCAGAUUCUAGGCUCUACUGCAUUCAGGCUAUCUCGAGCUACUGUGUUCAGCAUUAUAACUUCAUACUUUUUGGAUGAUCUUCUAGGCGUUGAUCAGCUUAGCUUCAACAACCUAAACAUUCAAGACUAAAAUUGAACUUGUUUGAUUUUCAUAUUUAGAAUGCCUGUAGAACUAGAACCUCUUUCGGAUGACUAUUCAAUAUUUAUAACAAAACUGUAUUGCUCAAAUAAUUUUACUCUGUUUAGUAUCUCACUAAUUUUCAUUAUCACCAACAUUACUAACUAGACAUUAACUGGGCAUAUAUACCACAGCGCACAGCGCGGUGCCACCUGUGACAGCCCCACCUUCUCCUAAGGCGAACCAAAGGGGUUAGCGGACUGCCCGCCCAACUCUCGCCAGGACUAACGGGACAAUUCAAUACGGUUUCAAAUAUCCGGAACAUACAAGCGCCCUUAGACAAGUCAAAAUUACAAAAUAACAAAAAAAAAAUGUAAACGGAGUCGGCCAUGAAUAGUAACCGACACGUCAAAAUCCAACCAAGCAUCAAUCAAACAUAUAUAUAUUGAAAUUUAGCAUUUACAUACCCAAAAGGAAAUACCCAAGUUGUCCAACGAGUUUAUACAAGUACGGUUUGCAAAUUACAACUCAACAGUUUUGGUUGGAUCCAAAAAGCACUUAGAGUUUGCUCAAAAGGAGCUAUUCAAAAUUUCAUUUACAUAAGCUCAACUCGGCAACCAACAUGUACAACCUUUCCAAAACUAAUCAAUUUCCUGUAAGGAAAACAAACGGAAUAGAGUGAGCUUACGCCCAGUGAGAUACUAUCACUCAAGCAACCAAGUUCAUAUAAGCAUAAAGCUUUUCAUUUCAAAUCAUCAAAAGUAAACCAAGAGCACACAUUAAUAGAGUUGAUAAAAGGAUACGGACGGCUCUCAAGAGCCCCUUUCCUCGCUUACAUUCUUGAUUGGAUCUCAUUGACCCUCCGUCAAUGUUUAAGAGUAACCAACCGUAGGAUCCACUUUACUUCCAUUCCUUCCACCCAACAUACCCCUACCGGGCCCGAACUCCAAACAAUAGAAAUUUGGUAAUACUCGAGUAUACCGGAAUCAAGAGUCUCACUACUACAAGAUUCCAUAUAACAGUCCCCAUGGCUCGUCAAUUUUCACGACCAAGCCCUCGCCGGCUCGAUUCAAUCGACUACCAAUGGGGUUGAGCUCAGUAGUAACAGUAAUGGCCGUUGGAUACUCGUCCAAACGAUACCAAAUCCAGUAUAUCAGGUAUCAUUUAAAUACCAUAGUAAAACAGUAGACAGUCGUAUAUAGUACCAAGAGGGGUGAGGGCGAUCAAGUACACCCUCACUUUAAUCAGUUUCAAUGGCAUAUAGGCCCUCAAGGCAUCAAGUUCAAAUAUAGCAAAGCCACAUUGUAAACAAACAAGUGAGUAGUACACUCACCAGGCAAGCAAGUGAAAUUUCAUAAACUUUCGCCCAAAGAGCAUCUUUAAUCACCGUCACGCCCUAAAAUAUUCAAACAAGCACAAUAAGACUCGAUUACAAGUCAUAAACCAGUUCUGCAUACAACCAAAAUAGGGCUCCAUAAGAAUGUAUCAGCACUAGAGUAAACUAGGGAAAUCCGGAAAUGGAAUUAAACUCUAAAGUCUAAACCAUAAAAAUAGUUUUUGACAUCAUUUUGCGGUUUUGGCACCAUUGGCACUACAAUUAUCGGAUGAAGGUACAAUACACACUGUUUCGAAGCUAAGAGGUAGGGCUACAAUGUUGAAGAAGGCUACUCAGUCCAGUUCAUAGUGCAACUAGGUCAAAAAUGCAAUAUACCAAACCAGCACCGUCAAAACAGGUUUACAAACCGCAUUUUGGCUCAAACAUCAUAAGUCAGGCUACCUAAGUCCAAAUCAAGUGAUUCCAAAGUCAUCCGAAAGCUAAGAUACAAGGCUACAAUUCAUCAGAAGACAUCAACAACCAAAUCAGAAGCAUUCCCUAUCAAAUUAACCAAUUACCAGAACUGAUUACCAAGUUCGGGUAGAAACAGGGAAGCAGGGGUAUUUCAGUCUUUUCACAAGCUACGUUGCUCCGAUUGACCUGAAAUUUUGCAGACAUCUCUAAAAUAUCAUUCCCUACAACUUUCAUGUUUUAACACAAGGCUAAUUCGGCCUCUAACUAUGAUGAACAGUGCCAGGCAGAAUGAGGGAGUAUGAAACCCUAACUUUCACAAUUUCCUUCCAAAACAGAAAUUUCCUGCAAUUAACCACAAAUUACACCUUCUAGCUUCAUUCUAGAUCAAUUCCCAUCAUCAUACAAAGCCACACCAUAUUACACAUAUGAAACAGAAAAUUCAUGAUAUAAUCAAAAAAAUUCACCAAUCUCAACCCAAUUCAAGAUAUCUUUCACCCAAUCACACAUUUAAUCAACACAAAUCAUUACUUUGACAUUAUCAAGACCAAAGGAAGCAUUCCCUAGCUACUCACCUUGAAAUGCAAGAAAAGGAACAACUUGGCACCUUAAUCCUCCAAACAACUCCACUAAACACCUCACAAUCACUCACUUAAGGGUUUCUAUGGAACAAAAGCAAGAUUAAAUGGUUGAUUUAUUGGAUUUGAGAAAGAGUAGAGCUAGGAAUUUGGAGAGUUUUCCUUUCUUUCUUCCUUGGAGAGAGCCGGCUUCAAGAGCUUGGAAAUAAGGGUGAAUUUUGGAAAUUUUGUUUUUGUUGGUUUAUUUGGUCAAAUAGUAAAAGAAUGAAUAGUAGUCAUAACCUAAGACUUAAUCUUAUGGUGACACUUGUCACCCUAUUUAAUGCAUCUCUAUCUCUUUGUUCCUCUCACACCAAUCCGCUUGGUAACAUCUAAUUAUCUCUUAACACCUGGUAAAUUAAAUCCAGUAUCCAAAACUUAACCUAACUGGCCGAAUUUUUCCGCACUUUUCGCCCUAGUGGGUCCCACGUCCGGUAUACGCUCUUAAUUUCUUAAAAACUAACCAAUACUAGAAACUCACCUAAAAACUAUAUUUACUCAUAAAAAUUAUCUAGAAACUUUUUGAAUAAAGAAAAUGCAGAAAACAUGCCAGUAACCCUAAUAAAACCUAGAAAAUGGGAAAAAUUACGGGUUCUCACACUCUCUCCCCCUUAAAAGAAUUUCGCCCUCGAAAUUUCUCACUUUAACUCACGAAAAGUUCAGGGUAUUUCUUUCGCAUCUCUUCUUCCACCUCCCAGGUAGUCUCUACCCCAUGGUUUCUCCACUUUUCCCGAGCGAAAACAACUGCGACUAACUCCAGAUCGUGGGUUUGAUAGUUUUUGUUCGUGGGGUUUCAAUUUCUUAGAGGCAAAAGAUUUCACAUUCUGGUUUUGCGUCAACACACACCCCAAACCUUCUCUCCUACCCAAACGUGGCAAUCCUUACAAACCAUACCAGUGCUCAAACGAUGUUUCCCCAUAGGAAUACUACUUUCAGGUCAUAGGGUAGACGAGCAGGUUUUGUAUCUAUUCCGUCCAUCAAAAUUGGGGUUGACAAAUGAAUGAGUAACACCAGGAUCUACUAAGAUUUUCGCAAAUCGGUGAAAUACUGAAAUUGUACCUUCCUCAAUUUCAGAAAAAUCGGGGACCUGUUGUGGCUCCAGUGAAUACACUCGAGCCGCUAACUUAGGUUUGGUUCCCUCCACCUUGGCGGGUUCGGAAGUAGUCCUCGUUGAUUGCUGACUCCCCUUUUCCAUCUCGUGAUAGGACUGGACAAGUAGCGAAUUGAUGGUUUGCACUUCCACAGCGCAAACAUUUUCCCUCCUUCUUCCAGCAAUUGUCCUCUGAGUGGUUUGACUUUCCGCAAUACCCGCAAGGUCCACGUGUUGCAUAAGCCGAGCCUCCUCUCUGGCCUCUCCCCACUUGGCCGCCUCGUGACGGGGCCUCUCGUGACACUUCCGGUAUCCUUUCUCCUACCGUUUCCCGCCCAAACUUGGAAGGGGUACUCUCAUCCCCCUGCCCCGAACUACUUCCAGGAAAUCCUCGCUUUUUCGCCUGGAAGUUUCUCACCUGUAGCCUAGCAUUCUCUACUCGUUGCGCCUUCUCUACUGCAUGACUGAAGGCGUUAAUUUGGGCUACCGCAAGGUCCUUCUGGAUUUCUACGUUCAGGCCCUGGACAAAUCGCCGUAUUCUUCGUUGCUCGGUCAUGAUGAGUUCGGGCGCAAAUUUGGAUAGGCGGGUGAAUUGGCUCUCGUACUCCGCUACAGAUUGGGCCUCCUGACGAAGCCGAAUAAAUUCAUCUUCCUUCCGCUCCUGAACUAGAGGAGGGAAGAAUUUGGCAUUGAAUUCCCGCAUAAAAUUCACCCAGGUCCUGGGCGUUUGUUCCCGUUCCCAUUUUUGCCGAAUAACGUUCCACCAGGAACGGGCCGCCCCUUCCAGUUGAAAGACGGCGAAGGUCACCUGCCUCUCCUCCGUAUAAUGUAGGGCGGCAAAGAUAUCCACCAUCUUCUCUAGCCACCUUUCGGCCACGUCCGGAUCGGGCCCCCCAAGGAACUUCGGUGGGGCAAACUUCUGGAAUCUUUCAAGUGCCCUGUCGUCACUCUCGACGUGGUUGCCAGGAUUUUCAGGGUUAGAAUUAGGGUUUUGAUCCUGUUGGUGCACCACUUGGGCUAGUAAAUUAGUCAUUUGCUGCAUAGUAGCCGCUAUUUGGAUGUUAGGAUCAACCCUAGGUUCAGGGUCAGGAUUAGGUCCAGAUGAGAUUUCCCCAGUGCCCCUUUCAGGCGUGGGUUGCCUACCCCCGCGUCCACGGCCUCGACCACUACGAGUGCCUUCCAUCAAUCUAAGUCGAUCUAGGAAUAAACCCUCCUUUUCGUAGCACUAAACAGGAACAAUUAAACAAGGACAAUUAACUAAAACAACUAUCUCGUAGAGCUUUUAAACACAGAACACAUAUACAUAGAACACAUAACCGGAUCAAGUAAUUAUACAGAACAGUCAGUCAAGCACAUACAAAGUCAUCACAUGAAACAAAAGGGGUCCUCCAAAAGUACUAUAGACAGACUAAGUCACGAGUACAAAAGAACUCACGAAAAACUUUCCCCCCCCCUAGGGCUCCAUCCAUAAUCUACGAGAACAACACCAUUUAUAUCUUAAUCAAGGUUGAUCACGCUUAACCAUACCCGAACAAACCACACGAAGUUCCAUAGAAUCGCAUUUCUAGUUCGCCCAAUCCUUUCGAACCUAGGCUCCCAUCUCUUUCGUAUCCAGGCGCAAGAAUCCCAUCUAAGAUGAUUCACAACUCGAGCCGGCCGGUCCCAAGCGUAAAUCAUCCAUAUUAAAGAUUCCUACCCGACAUACAUACCUAACUUCCUCAAGUCCCAUGAUAAUGAUCCUUACACUUAUGACAUGCACAGUUCAUAGCUUACGCUCAAAAGAGCACUUAUACCUUUCGACGCAUUCACGAAAGCAUGACCAUAACACCGCUUGGCCCAAACUCACUCCGCACAGAGACCACGCGAACCUGGCUCUGAUACCACCUGUGACAGCCCCACCUUCCCAUAAGGCGAACAAAAGGGGUUAGCGGACUGCCCGCUCAACUCUCGCCAGGACUAACGGGACAAUUCAAUACGGUUUCAAAGUUCCGGAACAUACAAGCGCCCUUAGACAAGUCAAAAUUACAAAAUAACAAAAAAAAAACGUAAACGGAGUCGGCCAAGAAUAGUAACCGACACGUCAAAAUCCAACCAAGUAUCAAUCAAACAUAUACAUCUUGAAAUUUAGCAUUUACAUACCCAAAAGGACAUACCCAAGUUGUCCAACGAGUUUAUACAAGUACGGUUUGUAAAUUACAACUCAACAGUUUUGGUUGGAUCCAAAAAGCACUUAGAGUUUGCUCAAAAGGAGCUAUUCAAAAUUUCAUUUACAUAAGCUCAACUCGGCAACCAACAUGUACAACCUUUCCAAAAGUAAUCAAUUUCAUGUAAGGAAAACAAACGGAAUAGAGUGAGCUUACGCCCAGUGAGAUACUAUCACUCAAGCAGCCAAGUUCAUAUAAGCAUAAAUCUUUUCAUUUCAAAUCAUCAAAAGUAAACCAAGAGCACACAUUAAUAGAGUUUCUCAAGAGCCCCUUUCCUCGCUUACAUUCUUGAUCGGAGCUCAUUGAUCCUCCGUCAAUGUUUAAGAGUAACCAACCGUAGGCUCCACUUUACUUCCAUUCCUUCCACCCAACAUACCCCUACCGGGCCCGAACUCCAAACAGUAGAAAUUUGGUAAUACUCGAGUAUACCGGAAUCAAGAGUCUCACUACUACAAGAUUCCAUAUAACAGUCCCCAUGGCUCGUCAAUUUUCACGACCAAGCCCUCACCGGCUCGAUUCAAUCGACUACCAAUGGGGUUGAGCUCAGUAGUAACAGUAAUGGCCGUUGGAUACUCGUCCAAACGACACCAAAUCCAGUAUAUCAGGUAUCAUUUAAAUACCACAGUAAAACAGUAGACAGUCGUAUAUAGUACCAAAAGGGGUGAGGGCGAUCAAGUACACCCUCACUUUAAUCAGUUUCAAUGGCACAUAGGCCCUUAAGGCAUCAAGUUCAAAUAUAGCAAAGCCACAUUGUAAACAAACAAGUGAGUAGUACACUCACCAGUCAAGCAAGUGAAAUUUCACCAGUCCAGUUCAUAGUGCAACUAGGUCAAAAAUGCAAUAUACCAAACCAGCACCGUCAAAACAGGUUUACAAACCGCAUUUUGGCUCAAACAUCAUAAGUCAGGCUACCUAAGUCCAAAUCAAGUGAUUCCAAAGUCAUCCGAAAGCUAAGAUACAAGGCUACAAUUCAUCAGAAGACAUCAACAACCAAAUCAGAAGCAUUCCCUAUAAAACUAACCAAUUACCAGAACUGAUUACCAAGUUCGGGUAGAAACAGGGCAGCAGGGGUAUUUCAGUCUUUUCAUAAACUACGUUGCUCCGAUUGACCUGAAAUUUUGCAGGAAUCUCUAAAAUAUCAUUCCCUACAACUUUUAUGUUUUAACCCAAGGCUAAUUCGGCCUCUAACUAUAAUAAACAGUGCUGGGCAGAAUGAGGGAGAAUGAAACCCUAACUUUCACAAUUUCCUUCCAAAACAGAAAUUUCCUGCAAUUAACCACAAAUUACACCUUCUAGCUUCAUUCUAGAUCAAUUCCCAUCAUCAUACAAAGCCACACCAUAUUACACAUAUGAAACAGAAAAUUCAUGAUAUAAUCAAAAAAAUUCACCAAUCUCAACCCAAUUCAAGAUAUCUUUCACCCAAUCACACAUUUAAUCAACACAAAUCAUUACUUUGACAUUAUCAAGACCAAAGGAAGCAUUCCCUAGCUACUCACCUUGAAAUGCAAGAAAAGGAACAACUUGGCACCUUAAUCCUCCAAACAACUCCACUAAACACCUCACAAUCACUCACUUAAGGGUUUCUAUGGAACAAAAGCAAGAUUAAAUGGUUGAUUUAUUGGAUUUGAGAAAGAGUAGAGCUAGGAAUUUGGAGAGUUUUCCUUUCUUUCUUCCUUGGAGAGAGCCGGCUUCAAGAGCUUGGAAAUAAGGGUGAAUUUUGGAAAUUUUGUUUUUGUUGGUUUAUUUGGUCAAAUAGUAAAAGAAUGAAUAGUAGUCAUAACCUAAGACUUAAUCUUAUGGUGACACUUGUCACCCUAUUUAAUGCAUCUCUAUCUCUUUGUUCCUCUCACACCAAUCCGCUUGGUAACAUCUAAUUAUCUCUUAACACCUGGUAAAUUAAAUCCAGUAUCCAAAACUUAACCUAAUUGGCCGAAUUUUUUCGAACUUUUCGCCCUAGUGGGUCCCACAUCCGGUAUACGCUCUUAAUUUCUGAAAAACUAACCAAUACUAGAAACUCACCUAAAAACUAUAUUUACUCAUAAAAAUUAUCUAGAAACUUUUGAAUAAAGAAAAUGCAGAAAACAUGCCAGUAACCCGAAUAAAACCUAGAAAAUGGGAAAAAUUACGGGUUCUCACACCACCACCUAGUUUAUCCAUAAGAGACAAAGAAAGAAGAACGACAAAAUAGAGUGAAAAAAACUUGUGCAUCAGAUGUAUUUGUGUGAAAGCAGUGUCCAUUUUUAGCUGUACACUUGUCAUGCAGUCAACUCUCUUUUUUCUUGCACUUUUCUUUUUUUCCCAAAAAACAAGGGAUCUUUCCAUAAAUGGAGGGGAAGUGAAGGUGUUUGGAAUGCUUGAGGGUUAGAUAUCUUUUUUAGUUGCUUUUUUGUUGGAGUCCAUCUACAAAAAAUGAUUAAAAAUCACGAGAUUCUCAAACGAUAAAUACAUGGAAGUCACUAAAAUAAAAAAGGCAAGUUAUUAUUUGAUUUAUUUUUGUCACUUAAGUCAUAUAUAGUUUAGGGUCUGUUUGAUAACAUAAAAAAGUGUUAAAUCUGAACUUUUUCAGAUAUUCAGAUGUUUUGAGUAUUUGAUAAAUGAAAAUCCAUUUGCUGAACUUGUGUGUAUUUUUUUCAGCACAAGAAUCCUAGUUAAAUGCUUAAUUCUGAUAAGAAUCAAUAGAAUUACUUCAACUACCUUAUCUUAUCUACCAAAUCUAUCAUUAUUUAUUAAUUAUGUUCAAAAUUCUUAUAUAAUUAAACAAUCUAAUAUUCUCUAUCUAAUGAUUUUCUAUUUCUCUUUUCUCACUUUUGAAUGACUUUCACUUCUUCACCAUACUCCUCAUAUAAUAUAAUUCAUCUUUUAUAUUAAUUUGAUUUAAAAAUAAAUAUUGUCAUUUUCAUAUCUAACAUUUUUAGCUAAUUAAAUCAUAGAUUCUAUUUCUUUUUUGGAUGAAAAGAUAUAAGGGCAAAAUUGUCAAAUUUAACUUAUUAAGCAUUCAGUUAGAAAUUUUAUCAAACAGUACAAAUAGAUUUAGCAUUAAAAUUCAGACAUUCAUAUAUUUCUUUUCAGUGCUUAAAAUUCAGCAAAUUAAUUGUUUUAGUAUUCAGAUUUCAGAAUUCAGACUUCAGAAUUCAGAUUCAGUUUUAUCAAAUGGAGCCUUAGUAUAAAAUUUUCCUUUUUGGUUGAUAAGCUUGAUCCAUUGUGUUAGUCUGUAGUUUUAAAGCUGUGACAAUUGGGAUUAAAAGGUGUUUAGAACAAUUGAACUGCCACCAUUGUUUGCUAUUCUACUGUGGAAUCACUCGGCAAUAUCUCCACCGUGUUUCAAAGUUAGAUGUUCUGUCGUUAUGUACUCUCAAAGUGGAAAUAGAAAUAUCUGGCCGCAGAGUUUACUGCGCUGAACUUGCAGUAAAAAUUUAAGGUGCCUGAUAAAUGUUCUGCUGGGGAAUUGAACUGCAGGCAGUGUUUGGACUGCACUUUAUUUUCACCUUAUUUAUACAUACUAAUUUGUCUGCAUCAUCAAUAUAUUUUUCAAUCAAUUUGUUAUCUUGUUAGGAUCGAAAACAACCAAUCGAAAAGUCAAUCGAUAAGCAAUUAAAAGAUCACAAUAUAACAAUAAAUAAAUAAAAUGGAAAGAAUUGCAAACCAAUUAACUACCCAACUCCUCUUGAGCUUGUAGAUUAAUUCAAAUAAGUUUCUUCAAGUUGAUGAAUUACAAUCACUCUUGCAUACAAAGGAAGGUUCACAUCCUUCUUGCCCCGAACACCCCUCGGUCAAGUCAGGAAGUUUUACUAUCCCUCAGGACAACCCUCACAGAGCUACACUCAUGAAGUAUUCACUCACAAAUGAAAAGCUUACAAUGAACCUCACACCACUAAGACUACAAAUCUUCUUUGAAGAGUAUUUUCUCACUAAAAUCACUCUAGAUCUUUUGUAUCUUCAGUGUGCAAAAGUUGUUUGAUGUAUCUGACCAACCACUAUUUAUAUAGGACCAAGAAAGUGCCUUAAUAAUGCUUCCAACGGAUAGAAAGUAGCUGAAAAGUCAACUAGCCGUUGGAGUGUCGGACGUCCGAUAGACCUGUUUUUUGCGUCCGACAGCAGGCAGUGAGUUUAAGAGAUUUUCUUCAAUUCUUUCGGACGUCCGGUAGGUUGGUUUUCUGCGUCCGAAGGUAUGAUAUAAAACUGGGAAUUUUUCUUCAAUUCUUUCGGACGUCCGGUAAGUUGGUUUUCUGCGUCCGAAGGUGUGAUGUAAAACUGGGAAUUUUUCUUCAAUUCUUUCGGACGUCCGGUAGGCUGAUUUUCUGCGUCCGAAGUUGCGCAAUGAUUGUCGAACGUCCGAUCAUGACUUCUUGAGCGUCCGACAGCUUCAGCAUACUUUGUCCCUUUCAAAUGUGAUUAAUUUUUGAAUCUGAUUUGCUUCAUAGCUGAAAGUAUUUCUUGAAAAAAUAUUAGUAUUAUCCAUUAUUUUGUAAACAUCAAAAGAUAGGGACCAAUGUCAACAUUCUCCCCCUUUUUGAUGAUGACAAAACAAUGGAUGGAAGAAGGAAAAAGAUUGAGCAUAUGAGCAUAAGCUCCCCCUCACUCAUAGCAUCCAAACUUAUAAUCUCAGAAUAACUCCCCCUCACACAUAGCAUAACUUCCCCUUAUACAUAGCAUCCAUUUCUCCCCCUUUUUAUCAUCAUAAGAUGAGAGUAAAAACUAACUACCAAAAUCCAGCAACAAUAACAGAGAAUCCACUAUUCCAAAUAAAAACAGAGAAAUGACAGCAAUCACCAACAUAUCACAGCAAAUCAUCAUGAGAUCGACAUUAUUCUUUUUACUCUCUUUUUGACAUCAUACAAAUUCAGUAAAAAAUCAAGAAAAACUUUGUUCACAGCAUCAGAAAUAUCAAAAGAGAAUUACAAAAAAAAAAAUUAUGAAUAAGAAUCUCAUCAAUCUUACCAAUAUCUGCUACUUGUUAAAAUUAGUAUCAUGUCUAACUAUUCAUAUGCAUUUCAUGCCUUUUUUCAUAUUCUUUCUCACAUAGCAAUCACUUUUCAUGUGACCUUUUUGACAACAGAAAUUACACAUAAUCAAAGAAUUAUUUAUAUGAACAGGUUUAAUAAAUCUUACUUGUCUUCUCUUAUAAAUAGUAAAUUCGUUGGAAUUAGAAUUCAACCUAUUCUUUUGAAAACAGACUUGUUUCUUGUGUUUAAGCAACUCAUUUAGACCAUCCAUUCUUCUUUUCAAAUCACCUUGUUCCUUUUUGAACAAUUCACAAAACUUUGUUUUGCUAUCAAGUUCAAAGUGUAAAGCAGUCUCACUCUUUUUGAAAUAAUCAUUUUCAGAUUUCAACUUUUUAUUUUGUUGAAAAAGAUUUGCAUUGUCUUGAAGAAGAAAACUAAUUUUGUGUUUCAAUUCCUUGUUUCUAACAUAAGAUUCUUUCAAACUAUCAUACAAUUUUUUAAUGAAAGAUUCAAGAUCAUCAUCACUUUCAUCAUCACUUUCAAAUUGAGAGUUAGAAGAUGUUACCUCAUCAUCUCCAAUGGCCAUGAAAGCCAAUUGAGCAGAUUCUUCAUCCUCUUCAAUUUCACCAUCGGAGUUGCACUCAUUCCAUGUGAAUUGAAAUUUGUUGAAUCUUGGUUUUCUUCCUUCAUUCUUCUUCAUCAUUGGACACUCACUCAUGUAGUGUCCAAGUUGACCGCAUUCAUAGUAAUUGUCACCUUGCUUUUUGUUGGCCUCAUACUUUCCUUUGUUUCUUACAUUGUUGAAUUGAUUAGAAUCUGAAUAGCUAGGUCCUCCUCUUCUAAACUUUCGUUUGUUGAGGAAUCUCUUGAAACUUUUUGUGAUAAGAGCAAGAUCACUAUCAUCAAUUUCCACAUCAUCUCCAUCUAGGGAGGCAGAAUCAUCUUGAUCUUAAGAUGUCUUUAGAGCAAUGCUCCUUCUUUCUUUCGCAUCCUCUUCUUCUUGCACUUUGGACUUAAGCUUCAGCUUAUAAAAGGUUAGAGAAUUAAUAAGCGAUUCAAUAGGCAAGGAAUUUAGAUCUCUAGCUUCUUCAAUGGCAGUCACUUUACUCUCCCAAUCCUUGGGCAAUGCAUUCAGAAUUUUUCUAUUUUUCUCACCUAGAGAGUAUUCCUUUUCCAGCACCUCCAAAUCCUUAAUGAGGUCAUUGAAUCUACAAUACAUCUUAUCAAUGUUUUCAUGAGGCUGCAUCUUGAAGGAUUUAUACUUUGUAACUAGAAUGGAUUUCUUUUGUUCUCUAACAUUCUCACUAUCUUCAUGAAUUUCUCUCAAUUUAUCCCAAAUUUCCUUGGCUGACUUGCAGCCUUUGACUCUAACCGAUUCAUUUGAAUCUAAAGCACAAUAUAACACAUUCAUGGCUUUUGCAUUUAAGGUGAGAUGAGCUCUAUCCACAGCAGUCAGUUCAUUUCUAGUUUUUGGUCUAGAUGUACGAGUAUUUUCAUCUAUAAGAGAGGCAUCAUAUGGACCUUCACUAAUAAUAAACCACAAUUCAAUAUCAAUAGAUUGCAAAAAAAUAAUCAUUCUUUCUUUCCAACUCACAUAAUUUGACCCAUUAAACAUAAGUGGUCUAAUCACAGAAUGUCCUUCAAAAAAUAUGGCAUUAUUGGUUGUCAUUUUUAUUCCAAAGCCGAUUGAGCUUAAUCUCUAGGAGAACAAGCUCUGAUACCAAUUGUAAGGAACGAAAACAACCAAUCGAAAAGCCAAUCGAUAAGCAAUUAAAAGAUCACAAUAUAACAAUAAAUAAAUAAAAAGGAAAGAAUUGCAAACCAAUUAACUACCCAGCUCCUCUUGAGCUUGUAGAUUAAUUCAAAUAAGCUUCUUCAAAUUGAUAAAUUACAAUCACUCUUGCAUACAAAGGAAGGUUCACCUCCUCCUUACCCCGAACACCCCUCGGUCAAGCCAAGAAGUUUUACUAUCCCUCAGGACAACCCUCACAGAGCUACACUCAUGAAGUAUUCACUCACAAAUGAAAAGAUUACAAUGAACCUCACACCACUAAGACUACAAAUCUUCUUUAAAGAGUAUUUUCUCACUAAAAUCACUCUAGAUCUUUUGUAUCUUCAGUGUGCAAAAGUUGUUUGAUGUAUCUGACCAACCACUAUUUAUAUAGGACCAAGAAAGUGCCUCAAUAAUGCUUCCAACGGAUAGAAAGUAGCUGAAGAGUCAACUAGCCGUUGGAGUGUCGGACGUCCGAUAGACCUGUUUUUUGCGUCCAACAGCAGGCAGUGAGUUUAAGAGAUUUUCUUCAAUUCUUUCAGAUGUCCGGUAGGUUGGUUUUCUGCGUCCGAAGGUAUGAUGUAAAACUGGAAAUUUUUCUUCAAUUCUUUCGGACGUCCGGUAGGCUGAUUUUCUGCGUCCGAAGUUGCGCAAUGAUUGUCGGACGUCCGAUCAUGACUUCUUGAGCGUCCGAUAGCUUCAGCAUACUUUGUCCCUUUCAAAUGUGAUUAAUCUUUGAAUCUGAUUUGCUUCAUAGCUGAAAGUAUUUCUUGAAAAGAUAUUAGUAUUAUCCAUUGUUUUGUAAACAUCAAAAGAUAGGGACCAAGGUCAAUAUAUCUCAUAUACAUCACAUCAAAAAAGUGCUACAGUAUUUUUUUACAAAAUUAUCUCAAAUAAUUUACUAUCCAAACACAAAGAAAGCCAAAUGGCUAUAACUAGGCUGUUUAAAUAUGGCUGAUUGUCCUUUGUGCAACUAAUAAUUUUUGAUGAUUGAGAUGUGUAACGAAAAAAAUAAUAUCAGGGCUAGUGAUGAGAGAGUACAAUAUGAUUUCAAAAUGAAUUGGCCAUGAUGGAAUUUAAUCGGAUAUUUUUUUAUCCUUGUUUAAUCACUUAAUGAGUAAUUUGACUAAAACUUUUAUCAAUUCAAGUACUUUUUGAUAAGUCACUGCAACUUCAAACGAGUAUUUAAAGCUGUCUAGUUCUAUUUCAGGGGACAAAAUGGCUGUUGUAUAAUGUUGCAUGGCAUUCUCUAUAAUUGUUUUGUUAUACUAAUGGUGUCAUGCAGUUAAUGGCCCAAAUAGAUUCCAUUUGAAUUAAAGUGUAUGAAAUUAAUUAUGAGAUAUGAAUUUCAAUGAAUAAUAAAACUUAUUGUGUUCGUGUAAGACAUCAUCUUAUUGUUAAAAUUUAUUGUCUUACUUGGCAUGUCUAGUAAUUUGAACCAAUUACUUGACAUGCCUAGUAAUUGAUCCAAAAUCAAUAAGAGAGCUGCAUGUAGAUAUAUAAGGUCUCAUUUGCUAAUUCACAUACUAAAUCAGUCUAUACAUAUACAUAUAUUUAUAUUUAUAUAUAUAUAUAUAUAUAUAUAUAUAUAUGGAACUCUUCCAUUUCCAUUGAUCUUGAAUCCAAGGAUAGAACCAGAAUUUUGGUUUAAUAGAAAAUGGUGGAUAAAAUAUAACAACUAUACCUCAAAUUUUGCAACAAAUAACUACCAUUCUAAUGUUUUUAAUAAGAGACAAAAUAUAAAUUUUCCUUUCAAGGCAAAAUGUUUUUUUUUUUUUGGCCUCGGCUCGAAUGAAGAUCCAAGUCUUACACAAGGGAACCGGAAAAGGAAGGAUUUAGAAUCAAACCAAAAAUCUCACUGUCAUGUAACAAUAUCUCUAUCAAUUAAAUCACAAAUAAAAAAAAUAAAGGAUUUGACUAAUCGAUGUCUAGUGGCGACUCCUUAAGUCGGGGUUCGAGUGUUACCUUUAUUUGCAAGAGUACUGUUAAUUUGAAAAAUUGUCGAAAUGAGCGGGGAGGGGAAAGUAUGGGGUACUAUAAGUGUGAGCAUGGUAAAUAAAACAUAAAGGAUUUGGGAUUGGGGUGUUACUUUUGUUCGCAAUAGUAUUAUUAAUGUUAAAAAAAAUUAUCUAAAUGUGGGAGAGGGAUGGAAGAGGGGGGAAUAAAACUGCAAUAAAUGUGAACAUGCAGAUUUACCUAAUAAUUUUGGCAUAAAUUAGGUACAACGGGCACCUAGUGCUCAAAUAGAUUAUUUUCUUCUAUAUAUUACUUUUUUGGUUUCAAUAUGUGGCACUUGUUAAAGAACCACCAACGAACAAUUCUAUAAAAACCUUAUUAAUGAUAUACAAAUCAAGGGCCAAAAGUCUCAAUGACUAUUAAACUGUACUUUGCAUCUAUUUUUGAACAUCAAACUAUUUUUUGUCUCAAUUCAAUCACUCAACUAACUAAUUAGUACUAUUUUGAUUGUUUACUUUUAGCCACUUAAUUAUUUUUUAUUCAAAAUGGCGACUCAAUUUACAAAUGUAUAUAUUGGUGGUUAUUCCAUCCAAAUUUGGUGUUAAUCCUAACAGAAUAAGUUGUAUGUGCACUAUAUUGGCCAAAAACCAUGGAUAAAUUCAUCCAAAUAGAUGAAAUAAAAAUCUUAAAUAAUCAUUAAACUAUACAAACAAUAUAAUUUUAGUGAUUUUUCAUUCAAAUUGGCCACUCAACUCACCAAAAUAGUAUAUUAGCAAGCUUUUAUUCAAAAUUUGUUAUUAGAUCUACUGUUUUCAUUUUAUUUGCAGGGUUCUUGCAAUAAUGCACAAGAACUAGAGCAUAUAAUUUAGUUUUUUUUUGUCAAAAAUUAUAAAUUAGAAUGCAUGAAAGCAACUAUUAUAGAUUCCAAAUUUUAUGUUUUGCUAAUAAAAAAAUAUGAAACUUUAGAUGGAAAAAAUGUAAAAAAAUUGACCUUCUGGAAUUGUCAUUACUUUUUGGUACGUGAAAUGCACAUGGAACUCAUUCCGUUAUCAUAACAAAAACAUUUUACAGAAUGACAGCUAAUAUAUCGAUUUAAGUGUUCAGUGACUAUAAUGAAACAAAAAAAUAUUUGAGUGGCUAAAAAUGUACGAGUGGAAUAGUUUAGUGGCCGUCAGAGUUUGUAGGUUCAGAUUUAGAAGUUUAGUGGAUAUAUUUACCCAUAGAUUAUGAUACAUGAUUUGCACGUGGUUGGUUUAUUUUGUAGAUUAAGAGCAAAAUCUGACAAAAUGGCCACAAGCAUACUGAUUAAUUAGUAGCAUGGCUGAAUUUUAUGAAAAUAGUUUGAUGGUCAAAAGUAAAUGUGGAGAAUAGUUUAAUGACUGUUGAGAUCUUUUACCCUACAAAUCAAUAUGGAAUCUAAUCAAAUUUUAAUGAGAUUUUAUAUCUAUUUUAUCUUUUGUUUCCUUUUUGUUCUAUUUCCUUAUUUUAUUAAUUGCAAUCCUUGCAUGCGUUAUGUUGUUUUAGGUAAUUACUAUGGGUUAUGGAGGGAGGGAGGGAGGGGGGAGCUACCACACAUAACAAUUAAAAUACCACACAUAACAAUUAAAAUAUGUUUGAGGGGGUAAAGAGUAAAUUAAUGAAAACUUCAAUCUUUGGGGUGGCUGCUCCUCCCCAGCCUCCCUAAUUUCGUCCUUGCCUGGACCAACUAUUAGCAUAUUAAGUAGUUAUUCCGACCAAUAUAAAAUCUUUGUUCAAAUUCCCGUGAAAUCCCUCGCAUUCCAGAGCUCAAUUUUGUUAACAGGGUCAUUGUAGAAGUGCCAAGAUUCAAUGGUUUAUAACACUAAUAACAAGAGUAAUUUGUUAGAUUUCUGACAUGCAAUUCCACUGGCUAUGCCUAUCAUUUUGUCCUGGCUCCUUGCAUCAAAAAUCAGUAAUCAGUAAACUCUUGCACGAUAAUCAUAAACACUGGCUAUCAGUAAUCAGUAAUCAGUAAACUCUGGCUAUCAUUUUCCAUAGCAUUGUAUACAUGACACUCCAUUCUCACUUUUAUCUAGCCGGAUAAUCAUAAACACUGAAAUAUAUAAAACUAAAGAUGUAUCCAGCAAGAAGUGGCUCUUGAAUCUCAAUAAUCAUCUACUUCUUGCUAGUACCACUCCCAUGAUCCAUCACAUAUGCCCUCAAGGAUGGGGAUUGAGUGAGGCCAUAAGGUGCAACAGUUGUAUUCUGAUUUCCAUUCUUCUGCAGCAUUCUUCUCCUUGCCACGUAACCGCGGAUCCAAGGGGUAACAUCCUCGUUAAUCUUUAUCAUGAUGAAGAAGAUAAUGCGGUAGAUAAUAAUCAUACUGAAGAUAACACUGAGAUCCACCCAUUUUGACCUGUUUGUGUCAAUCUGGAAGACAUAUUCCAGAAUGUAUUCUCCAGAAAUUUUGGGCAUGUCCGGGGUCUGGUUGUCAAAUAUCAGGCCCUUCAAAUCAUUCUGGUAUUGACCCUGAGAUAUUUGAUGUUGUUUCCAAUUGUAAGAUACCAUUAAUUAUAAAUUUUAUCAGGAUGACACAGUUGCAGAUGAGUUUACCUGUAGUGCCCAGAAGUGAAAACUGAUGUAAGUCAUUGGAUAGCGCCACACUGGCUUGGGGAUGUCAUUUGGGAGUCUGAAGUAGCCAGAUACUAGCAUAAAUAUCCCCUAACACACGAAGGAAACCACAAAAUUCAGUUUGACUGACACGAGAAAAUUAACAAAGAAAAUAAGAAGCUUAAAUUCCAAGAUACUGAUUCUUGACUAAUCUUAGUAGAAUAAAAUCAUCAACGCUAAAAGAGAUGAGGUAUCAAUAGAACCGGAAAGCAAGUUUUCCCUGAAGGGAAAAAUCAAUUAAGGGCAGACACAUGAUUGCUUGGAAUGAAUAUCCUAACCUUGUUACCAAUCAACAGAAUAGGAUGAAAAGUGAUAUUCUGAACUCAUCCGGGAAAUAUAAAGCGUGUAAAUGUAUAUUGAAAUGCGCACCUGAAUACCAGCACCAGUGAUGAUACCCAUGAGGAAGUUAGGGACAAUGCUUGCUAUAGCCAUCAUCAGGCUCUCAACAACAGUGACACUUGCAUAAAGGCACAACACGAAGAACAGGUAAUGUGAGAAUCCAGGAUGAAGACGGACCAUGAAGUAGCAGAUAGUCCCAGAAAUGAAAGUGAUCAAUAUCAGAAAUGGCAUGGCAGAUAGUGUGUUGCUGAUGACAAAUGCAGUUACACCAUAAUGUCCAUUUAACCUUUCUCUUUGGAAGACCUGCAUUAACAGAUGAGUGCAGGUAUGUUUUUAGUGCUUCAGUAAUUUCCUUGAGGUUCCCUAUGUGGACAAUAAAAAAAAAAUGGCAGGCCAAUGAUGGAACCGUUAGUGCAAUUCCAUUAAGGUUAAGAGACAAACCUUCAUAUCUUCUACAAAUGAAGGAAAACCACCAAUUGACAUGAAUGUCACGAAGCCAAAGACAAAAGAAGCACAAGCACCCCUUGCCUGUUUAGAGGAAAGGAUCACAUUAAGAUGGAACUGCCAUUGGUACCAGUAAUUCAGUAGUUUACAGUCCAGAAUUUGAUGGCUUUCCUUCACUUGUGUUUCUUACAAGUGUCACGCCGUGCUUUGAUGAUAUAUUAGCAAAAUUACAAUUUAUAGACAUUCCGAUAAAAAGUGUCUAAUCAUGUCAGUUUUCCAAAAGGAAUGCAUCAAAGAAACUAGCCUGACUGCCUCCUGAAUCCAAUACAGUUCCUUUCUGUUAACACGACAUCAACUGUUAACCACAUAGCCAUUAUGAUGAAUCAUUCAAGAAAAUGUCAAAGAUAAAAAAUGAAAACAGAUCAAUACUUACUAUUUUGGACAUUUCCUCAACUUUUUCUUUUGCAAUGUAGCAAUAUUGAGAUCUACGAUAGCAAUCAAUGAGGGUCCUUAUUGCUUCAGCAGUUGUUAUUUUCUCGAGAGGAUCAUCAUUGCUUUCAAACUGAAUAAACAUCACCAAGUUAGUCAAGUUGAAACUAAGUGCAGAAUACUAGCAACUUUAUUAGUCUAAAAUAAAGUUUCAAGUGUUUAAGGGUAAGAUCCAAGUCUGUCCUACAUAUUCAAUCUUUUAUUCCAUUUCCUUUUUCUCCUUUGGAUUCUCUCCAAAUUAAUGAAAAUCCUCAGGUGACUUUUUAUUUUUCCCAAUGUGUAGAUUGAAGUUCAAAUGAUUGAACAACCAUCACAACUAGGCUAGUUUUUUGAGUGACAAUUCAUUAGACAGUUUUAGCCAAAAAAAAAAAAUUAUCGCAGGUUGCUUCUUCCUGCUGUUAUUAGCCAAGCUAUGUAAGUUUUUUGCUGUCGUCCCACAUAAUUUUUUAUUCAAUACUGUUUAGGAGUUAUUAUAAAUUAUCUGGUUCCUUCCCAUGAGGAGCGGAAGCAAAAAGGAGAAAUGACUCCUUGGUAUGAAAAUUGAUGUUCUUGGAAAGCUAGGUUAGGGCCAUGAAGAAGGAAGAAUGGGGAACAAAAUGGCACAGCUCAUGUCUGUAUAUUACAAAAUGCUGUAGUUCUAUACCAGACUUUGCUGAUCCAAAGAGGGGAAAAAAUUUAAUACCUGAUCAAAUCAUUUACUGACCAAAUUAAUUACUUCAGCUAGUUGAUCACGCAUCACAAACUUUACCUAAUUGUGCGACAUGACCAGACACACCAGCUCCAUUAAAUAAAUGACUGCAAUAACUCCAGUGUUUGUUUUUGACCUAAUUACUUCAGCUAAUUGACACAUAACAAACCUUGGGCCAAUUGUACAACAUCACCACACACAUCAACUCUGUUAAAUAACCAUGACUGCAAUAAUUCUAAUGUUUGUUUCCGACCAGAAGCAUCACUUCCAGCAGAAUAUAGAUAUAUGCUCCACAUGCAUAAAAGACUUGCGUGUUGAAAAAGAAGAGCAGCAUAUUUAGUACUAUAGAAUGCUUGUUUCAGUACGCAAGAACUUGGAUGAGAUGGAAAGAAAUAUGUUCAGUACCCUCAUCUUCAUGGAUCCCUUGAGAGUUGCCUUAACUUUGUCAAAAUCUGAAUUUAUGCAUCUAAGGAAGUGGUCUGAUGGAUUUCUCAGAGUAGGACAUGGAAAGCCAGCUUGCGCAAAAAACUGCAAAAAACCAAGCCUAAUGUGAUUUUAAGUUUUUCAGAUAUGUAAAUAAGCUUCGAGAAAGUGAAAGGGUCGAGGGCUCUUGCCUCAUAGGCUUCUGAAGUCUGCCCAAAGUAAACUGUCUUCCCUCCAGAAAGCAAGUACAAUCUAUCAAAAAGCUCAAAAACUUCGCUGCUUGGCUGGUGAAUAGAGGCUAUUACAGUCCUUCCAUCUCUAGAUAGACCGCGUAAGGUCUGAGUUACGAAGAAAGCUGAAGCACUGUGACAAAUAAUGCAAUACAAGCAGCCCAAAUUAAUCAGAGGUAAUGAGAGGAGCUGCACGACCACAUCAACAACUACUUAUUAAACUCUCAAAAGACGAAUUAUCUGUCCUGCAAUUAUUCAAUUCUGCUCUCUUGGAGUUGUAUACUAAUGCAACUAAACUAUGGAUCGCAGGAAUUUAAGAGAAUCUAUUGGUAUUUAAUUUACCUGUCAAGUCCACUUGUUGGCUCAUCUAAGAAAAGCAAUCUAGGCCUCAUCAGGAUCUCAAGGGCAAUGCUUACCCUCCUCUUUUCUCCACCACUGAUUCCACGCAAGUGCCAAUUUCCAAUAACUGUAUCGGCACAAUCUUGGAGGCCCAUUUCGACUAUGGUGCUCUCUAUCAAUGCUCGCUUCUCAGUCCACGGCAUCUUAUCUGGGAGCCGCAGCCUAGCAGAAUAAGAUAUUGUUUCCCGAACAGUCAGAGUACCAAUCAAGUUGUCAUCUUGUGUCACAUACGCCUGCGUUCAAUUUAAUUUAUCAACGCACACAAAAUCCAGCUGAAUUCAACCAGUUAGGCUUAUCAUCCUAGUUGAAAAUCAAUUGAGCAAUGAAACAGCAGCAUAUGGAUCAUCAUAGUCAUAUUGAACAAAAACACGGAGAAAGAGAGUCAUCCAACUAGCCAUAAUUCAGAAACACAGACAGGAAAUGGGCAGCCUAACAAGUCACUAAAAAACAGCAAGUGUAAAAUGCAACUAAGAGAUCAAGCCUACUUGCAAAGUUUGGAAAAAACAAAUACUCCCUCCCAGCUUACAAUACCAAUUGUCUAAAGAUUAUUUCCCUAGCUCCAAAUAUCUCUUAGAUAUCCUAGAUAUUUAGAUAUUUGGAGUUAGGAGAGGAAAUAAAUGCUAGAAAGAUAACAAAGUAACUCACAGCUGUACCAAAAGAGAGCUUUGCUCUACGACCAUUGAGUAGGAUAGUUCCAGACAGGAAAGCAUUGGCAGCAAGGCGACCAGAGAGGGCAUCAAGCAGGGUAGAUUUGCCAGAACCAGAAGGACCCAUAAGGGCAGUGAAGCUACCUGGCUCAGCAUAACCAGUAAGUCCUUCCAAAACAUUUUGAGUCUCCCCAUUCCCCAGUGUAACCAUUACUGUCAGAUCUUUCCAAGUCAAUCUUGCAGAAACAUCCCCAACAAAUUCUGUAUUGGUUUUCUCCUUCCACAGUGUCUCACUCAAAGGGCUC